AACAAUGGCAUGCUCAGUUUUCCUUUGAUAAAAGUCACAUUUUCGAGUUUCCGGUAUGAGCUCGUUUGUAUGGACUGUUUUAUCUGUUAUGGUCUCACAAAGGACUUUGCAUGGUUUCUUCUAUGUUGGGUCGGCCGUUGUCGAGUGAUAAGACAACUUCUGAAUGGACUCGUUUAGAUUAUGUUUGGGUAUGCAUUGAGAUAGAUGCAGCCAAACCUCUCAAGCCCCAAUUUGAAUUUCAAUGCCGGUUAUCUAUUGAACCCAUACAGCUUACAAUGUAAUAUGAGUGGACUCUUAAGAGAUGCCCCAAGUGUUGUCUUUUUGGCCAUGUUUGUCACCAACCAGAGGUACCUAUUGCACCUAUGGCUCAGGGUAAGAGUAAGACAAUUAUUAGCUUCCAAAAGGCACCGGGGAGUGGUAUUGCAGUGCGAUCUGAGGACCGUGAGCCUUUGAGACAGUUAGCUACUACUGAUCCCAUUAAGGAUAGGGAGUGAGAGAGGGAUGUUUCAACACCAGUUUGUGUUUCAGUUUCGGGAUGGGCUACUACCAUACAUUCUAGUGAAGCUACAGUUACAGAUGUUUCUUUCGCUUUGAUCCCGUAUUAGCAAACUAUUUGUGCCAGUAGAGGUAAAUUCUCUAACUCUAAUUCUGGGUCGGAUCUUGACACGCCUUUUCUUAUUGAAGACGAGAUGGACUGCAUUAUGGGUUUCACAAAUUGCACGGAAAACACUCGGGCUUCCUUUACGAGUUUUGGGAGUAGGCAAUCUACUUUUGCCAACAGGUUUUCCUCGCUUGUUCUACAUAAUGAUGAUCUCUAGACGUCAGAUGCCACUUUAUUUGGAUCAGUUUCCCUGCCACCCUUGGAAAAGGGGAAAGGUCGGGGAAAGCGGGGCUUAGACCCAAGUGAUUGUUUAGCUUGUUUCUAACCCAAUUCUAAUGAUAGGGAGUUGGAAUAUUAGAAGCCUUAACGACUUCUCGAAACAACGCGCAGUGAGGAAUUAUAUUUCUUAUUCUUCUUUGGGUUUGAUUGGCUUGUUGGAGACUAAGGUUAGCAGUUUCAUCUACAGUCGGUGGUCUCGAUAGUUUGUUCUUUAUGGCAGUGUUUGUCAAAUGCGACAGAUUCUAUUGCCUGUUGAGUUCUGGUAUGUUGGGAUCCUUCUCUUUACUCUGUGAAUAGCCUUCAUUUCUCUCUUCAAGAGGUCACUUGCAGGGUUAUGUUUUAGAGGGGUUCUCCUUCGGGAUUACUUUUGUGUAUGGUUCUAAUGACCCUGGGAAAUCGCCGCAACCUAUGGGAUUUCCUUAGGGAUCAGGCGGCGGAGUUUGAUUCGGAAGGGUUACUAUGGUUUGUGUUGGGUGAUUUUAAUGCCAUUUUGGGAGCCUCUGAUAGAGUGGGUGGUGAUCUUGUGUGGUAUGGUUAUAUGGAUGAUUUCGGCUACUGUAGUCAUGAUGCUAAGUUGAUUGGGUUUCCUUUUACUAGGCUUCGGUAUACUUGGCAUAAAAGGCAACAGGGCGAUGGGAUUAUUCUACGGAAGCUUGAUUGGGUCUUUGCAUCGCUUUCUUGGUUCAUUAAUCGGCCGACCAUAGUUUCAGAGUUUAACCUCGGGAUGUCUCAGAUCAUCACUUUAUGUUUGUUCGGUUUGGCUCUCAUCAUGGCAAGGCAAACGUUGCAAAACAAGGGCGGUUGCUUGGUUUGGGCGUGGGAACAAAGUACAUUGGAGUAACAAUUUCAAACUGAGGGCAGUUGCUUGGUUCGGACGUAGGAACAAAGUAUGUUGGUGGUUGUUUCAAAUUGAGGGCGGUUGCUUGGUUUGGACGUAGGAACAAAGUAUGUUGGAGUGGCUUACAGUAUGAGUCUGCAUAAUUUAGUGCUGUAAUUUAAUUUUUGUUUAUGUGGGUGUUAAUAUGUAGAAAUUAAUUAGUAAAAGUUAUAUUAUGUAUUUGAAUUAUUAUGUUAGGCUUUCCGUGGAGGUGAAUCUUGUGUUUAUGGUGUUUAUAAUGAUUUGGCUGUAAAUUGUAUUAUGACAGAUAACUUAUAAUCUUUA
RNA transcript from Pistacia vera, 2042 nucleotides. RefSeq lists it as uncharacterized. The record is from RefSeq and is a predicted model, not a curated record. Lineage: Eukaryota; Viridiplantae; Streptophyta; Magnoliopsida; Sapindales; Anacardiaceae. The transcript has 2 exons.